UUCUUGGAACUUCUCGAACAAGGCACAAACUCCAGACAGCUGCCAUCUGGGAGGUUCUUGUUGUCUCCGAUCUUCACUCAGGCCAUCCUGGACACAUUCCCAUGGCAGAGGCAUCAGAACCCUACAACGCCCAGUGCUUCUUUGAGGCCCAGGGGUCACAGGGAUUGAACUCAGGCUGUCAGGAUUGGCAACAAGUGCCUUUUACCAACCGAGCCAUCUCAUCACCACAGAGGCGCUUUCACGGUACAGCUCUGGAUGGCCUGGAACCCGCUAUGUAGGAAGUCAAGCCCCGGGAUUCACCUGCCUCUGCGUCCCCUCUGCUGGGGUCAUGGGCGUGCACUUAUAGCAUCUUCAGCAAGGCUCCAUUUUAGAACAGAAAAAAAAAAUCUGCAAAGUGACUUGACAAAAAAGUGUAAAUAUGGGGAUGGCAAAGAGUUGUUACUCUUCCAGCUCUUUCAUCCAUCCAGGACGGCAAGGAGAUAGCCAUCACUCCUGUUUGUGGCAGAAGAAAUGAAGGCACAGAUGAGGGGGGGCGUAACAAAGGUCACAGGGCUGGAGAGAGGGAGUGCACAGAGCUGAGAGAGCCCAGUCUCUUUUUGACCGUUCUGGACAAUUUGAUUAGAACAGAUCUCCAGUGGAUCACCGACGAGCACUCUUGAAAAUGACGUGGUGUCUUGGCGGAAGUGGAUAAAUGUUCGUCUGCCCGGCGGCGAAAGGAGCUGGGCGGAUCUUUCCACUGAACGUGGAGCCAGACUGGACACCAGCAAGCCCCAGAGACCCUCCUGUUUCCACUCCUUGAAAUGCUAGGGUGUGCGCGGCCAUAUUUGGCUUUGUAUGUGCACUCCGAGGACUUGAACUGAGGUCCUCACAGUAGCUCAGCCAGUGCUCUUACUGUCUCAGCCAUUUCU
Long non-coding RNA from Mus caroli (Ryukyu mouse), 908 nucleotides. RefSeq lists it as uncharacterized. The record is from RefSeq and is a predicted model, not a curated record. Lineage: Eukaryota; Metazoa; Chordata; Mammalia; Rodentia; Muridae.